GACGAACGCUGGCGGCGUGCUUAACACAUGCAAGUCGAACGGACAGGCCCUGCCUUUGUGGGGUGCUCGAGUGGCGAACGGGUGAGUAACACGUGAGUAACCUGCCCUUGACUUUGGGAUAACUUCAGGAAACUGGGGCUAAUACCGGAUAGGAGCUCCUGCUGCAUGGUGGGGGUUGGAAAGUUUCGGCGGUUGGGGAUGGACUCGCGGCUUAUCAGCUUGUUGGUGGGGUAGUGGCUUACCAAGUCUUUGACGGGUAGCCGGCCUGAGAGGGUGACCGGCCACAUUGGGACUGAGAUACGGCCCAGACUCCUACGGGAGGCAGCAGGGGAGAAUAUUGCACAAUGGGCGGAAGCCUGAUGCAGCAACGCCGCGUGCGGGAUGACGUCCUUCGAGUUGUAAACCGCUUUCGCCUGUGACGAAGCGUGAGUGACGGUAAUGGGUAAAGAAGCACCGGCUAACUACGUG
RNAcentral lists this ribosomal RNA (468 nucleotides) under uncultured bacterium. RNAcentral describes it as "partial 16S ribosomal RNA". It matches the Rfam family "Bacterial small subunit ribosomal RNA", at positions 28 to 507 of the family's 1533-position model. The record is from RNAcentral.